RNAcentral lists this ribosomal RNA (481 nucleotides) under uncultured bacterium. RNAcentral describes it as "partial 16S ribosomal RNA". It matches the Rfam family "Bacterial small subunit ribosomal RNA", at positions 28 to 523 of the family's 1533-position model. The record is from RNAcentral.
GACGAACGCUGGCGGCGUGCUUAACACAUGCAAGUCGAACGGAGAUACGAUUUCGGUUGUAUCUUAGUGGCGAACGGGUGAGUAACGCGUGAACAACCUGACUCUAAGAGGGGGAUAACACUCGGAAACGGGUGCUAAUACCGCAUAAGACCACGACCCGGCAUCGGGAUGAGGUCAAAGGAGCAAUCCGCUGAGAGAGGGGUUCGCGUCCCAUUAGAUAGAUGGCGGGGUAACGGCCCACCAUGUCAACGAUGGGUAGACGAGCUGAGAGGCGGAUCGGCCACACUGGAACUGAGACACGGUCCAGACUCCUACGGGAGGCAGCAGUGGGGAAUAUUGGGCAAUGGGCGCAAGCCUGACCCAGCAACGCCGCGUGAGGGAAGAAGGCUUUCGGGUUGUAAGCCUCUGUCCUUGGUGACGAAACAAAUGACGGUAGCCAAGGAGGAAGCCCCGGCUAACUACGUGCCAGCAGCCGCGGUAA